Long non-coding RNA from Anguilla rostrata (American eel), 210 nucleotides. RefSeq lists it as uncharacterized. Lineage: Eukaryota; Metazoa; Chordata; Actinopteri; Anguilliformes; Anguillidae. The transcript has 3 exons. The record is from RefSeq and is a predicted model, not a curated record.
CUACCAACAUCAGGAUGCAUCCUGCUUUUGGGAAAGAGGGCUUUUCUGUGGUUCGGAUUCUCCCAGAGCACAGAGAUUACACUGCCAUGCGGAGAAGCCAAUUUAUUUUGGGGCUGGUAAAUCAUGUCUGGGAAGGCAGGUCCCCAGUUUAGAAAGGUGCCAUGACACAUAACUUUAAAAAAGGCAAAUACAGUACCCUGCUGAAGUGUA